RNAcentral lists this ribosomal RNA (431 nucleotides) under uncultured bacterium. RNAcentral describes it as "bacterial SSU rRNA". It matches the Rfam family "Bacterial small subunit ribosomal RNA", at positions 29 to 507 of the family's 1533-position model. The record is from RNAcentral.
AACGAACGCUGGCGGCAGGCUUAACACAUGCAAGUCGAACGCCCCGCAAGGGGAGUGGCAGACGGGUGAGUAACGCGUGGGAAUCUACCCAACCCUACGGAAUAGCUCCGGGAAACUGGAAUUAAUACCGUAUACGCCCUUCGGGGGAAAGAUUUAUCGGGGAUGGAUGAGCCCGCGUUGGAUUAGCUAGUUGGUGGGGUAAAGGCCUACCAGGGCGACGAUCCAUAGCUGGUCUGAGAGGAUGACCAGCCACAUUGGGACUGAGACACGGCCCAAACUCCUACGGGAGGCAGCAGUGGGGAAUAUUGGACAAUGGGCGCAAGCCUGAUCCAGCCAUGCCGCGUGAGUGAUGAAGGUCUUAGGAUUGUAAAGCUCUUUCAGUGGGGACGAUAAUGACGGUACCCACAGAAGAAGCCCCGGCUAACUUCGUG